GCCAGCAGCUAGCUCUCUGCAACUCUCACAUGGUCGCCCACUGAAGCUAAGCAGGGCUGCGCCAGGUCAGUACCUGGAUGGGAGAUCACAUGGGAAAGCUAGGUUGCUGCCGGAA
Molecule: non-coding RNA, 115 nt
Organism: Danio rerio (zebrafish)
Lineage: Eukaryota; Metazoa; Chordata; Actinopteri; Cypriniformes; Danionidae
Source: Rfam